AUUUAAUUGAAGAGUUUGAUCAUGGCUCAGAUUGAACGCUGGCGGCAGCUUUAAUACAUGCAAGUCGAGCGAGAAAGUUUCUUCGGAA
Molecule: ribosomal RNA, 88 nt
Filed under: Pseudomonadota bacterium
Lineage: Bacteria; Pseudomonadati; Pseudomonadota
Description: Proteobacteria bacterium partial 16S ribosomal RNA
Rfam family: Bacterial small subunit ribosomal RNA
Source: RNAcentral